GGAAGGUGCGGCUGCGGCCAGCCAGACUGCCUUGAAAGCAGUUAUGCGGUAACCAUUCCGGGGGAUCGACACCUCCACCUUCCG
This 84-nucleotide transfer RNA is filed under the name Mycolicibacterium frederiksbergense. RNAcentral's name for it is "tRNA-Ser". Lineage: Bacteria; Bacillati; Actinomycetota; Actinomycetes; Mycobacteriales; Mycobacteriaceae. The record is from RNAcentral.